AACGCUAGCGGCAGGCUUAACACGAUGCAAGUCGAGGGGCAGCGCGGGUAGCAAGUAGUCUGGCGGCGACCGGCGGAAGGGUGCGUAACGCGUGAAGCAACAUGCCCGUCAUUGGGGGAUAGUCAUUGGAAACGAUGCGUAAUACCCCAUAACCACUGAAGCUGCAUGGCUUUAGUGUAAAAGAUACGUCGAUGACGGAUUGGCUCGCGUGGCAUUAGCCAGUUGGCGGGGUAACGGCCCACCAAAGCUACGAUGCCUAGGGGUUCUGAGAGGAAGACCCCCCACAUUGGGACUGAGACACGGCCCAAACUCCUACGGGAGGCAGCAGUGAGGAAUAUUGGUCAAUGGACGGAAGUCUGAACCAGCCAUGCCGCGUGAAGGAUGGCGGCCCUAUGGGUUGUAAACUUCUUUUGUGACAGAGCAAUAAGGUCUACGUGUAGACCGAUGAGAGUAUGCCACGAAUAAGCAUCGGCUAACUCCGUGCC
This 485-nucleotide ribosomal RNA is filed under the name uncultured bacterium. RNAcentral's name for it is "bacterial SSU rRNA". It matches the Rfam family "Bacterial small subunit ribosomal RNA", at positions 32 to 509 of the family's 1533-position model. The record is from RNAcentral.